UCUUAUCCAGAGUGGUGGAGGGACUGGCCCGAUGAAACCCGGCAACUGGCCUUGUUUUUAUUAAAAAUAAGGUGCUGUGCUAAAUCCAGCAGAUUUUGAUUCUGGCAGAUAAGA
Molecule: non-coding RNA, 114 nt
Filed under: human gut metagenome
Description: SAM riboswitch (S box leader)
Rfam family: SAM riboswitch aptamer (S box leader)
About the family: The SAM riboswitch is found upstream of a number of genes which code for proteins involved in methionine or cysteine biosynthesis in Gram-positive bacteria. The SAM riboswitch acts at the level of transcription termination control. The predicted structure consists of a complex stem-loop region followed by a single stem loop terminator region.
Source: RNAcentral